Molecule: ribosomal RNA, 599 nt
Filed under: Qipengyuania citrea
Lineage: Bacteria; Pseudomonadati; Pseudomonadota; Alphaproteobacteria; Sphingomonadales; Erythrobacteraceae
Also listed under: 1 other name
Description: bacterial SSU rRNA
Rfam family: Bacterial small subunit ribosomal RNA
Source: RNAcentral
UGGCGCACGGGUGCGUAACGCGUGGGAACCUGCCUUUAGGUUCGGAAUAACAGUUAGAAAUGACUGCUAAUACCGGAUAAUGUCUUCGGACCAAAGAUUUAUCGCCUUUAGAUGGGCCCGCGUUGGAUUAGAUAGUUGGUGGGGUAAUGGCCUACCAAGUCGACGAUCCAUAGCUGGUCUGAGAGGAUGAUCAGCCACACUGGGACUGAGACACGGCCCAGACUCCUACGGGAGGCAGCAGUGGGGAAUAUUGGACAAUGGGGGAAACCCUGAUCCAGCAAUGCCGCGUGAGUGAUGAAGGCCUUAGGGUUGUAAAGCUCUUUUACCAGGGAUGAUAAUGACAGUACCUGGAGAAUAAGCUCCGGCUAACUCCGUGCCAGCAGCCGCGGUAAUACGGAGGGAGCUAGCGUUGUUCGGAAUUACUGGGCGUAAAGCGCACGUAGGCGGCUUUUCAAGUCAGGGGUGAAAUCCCGGGGCUCAACCCCGGAACUGCCCUUGAAACUGGAUGGCUAGAAUACUGGAGAGGUGAGUGGAAUUCCGAGUGUAGAGGUGAAAUUCGUAGAUAUUCGGAAGAACACCAGUGGCGAAGGCGACUCACU